GGCAUGGUGGUGUAGUGGAUGCAUCACUGCCUGUCAAUCAAUCAGCCUGGGUUCGAUUCCUCAACCUGCCC
Molecule: transfer RNA, 71 nt
Filed under: Alosa alosa (allis shad)
Lineage: Eukaryota; Metazoa; Chordata; Actinopteri; Clupeiformes; Clupeidae
Description: tRNA-OTHER
Source: RNAcentral